RNAcentral lists this ribosomal RNA (290 nucleotides) under uncultured microorganism. RNAcentral describes it as "partial 16S ribosomal RNA". It matches the Rfam family "Bacterial small subunit ribosomal RNA", at positions 505 to 796 of the family's 1533-position model. The record is from RNAcentral.
CUGCCAAUACCCGUGGUAAUACUUAAGUGGCAAGUGUUGUCCGGAUUUAUUGCGCGUAUAGGGAGCGCAGUGGUUUCUUAGUCUGAUGUGAAAGCCCACGGCUUAACCGUGGAGGGUCAUUGGAAACUGGGAAACUUGAGUACAGAAGAGGAAUGUGGAACUCCAUGUGUAGCGGUGGAAUGCGUAGAUAUAUGGAAGAACACCAGUGGCGAAGGCGACAUUCUGGUCUGUUACUGACACUGAGGCUCGAAAGCGUGGGGAGCAAACAGGAUUAGAUACCCUGGUAGUCC